RNAcentral lists this long non-coding RNA (332 nucleotides) under Panax ginseng (ginseng). RNAcentral's name for it is "long non-coding RNA (PGIN_LNC002717)". The record is from RNAcentral. Lineage: Eukaryota; Viridiplantae; Streptophyta; Magnoliopsida; Apiales; Araliaceae.
UUUUAAACUUGCUGGGCAACUUUCAUGCUCACCCUUGCUAUAUCAUGAUAAAACAUUGCAGAUAAGGCGAAUACGGCCAGUUACAGGAAAAGGAAAAUGCCAAGUUCAGCUUGGGAUAGAAUGCACAGCUAAUUUGUAAAAGUAUGGUUGAAGAAUAGUAUUGUUAUGUGUUAGAUAGCUUAUGAUUUGUGUUUAAGUAAAGGUUACUCGACCUUGGGGAAUAGUGUGUAAUGUAAUGUAUAAACAAUUUAUGUUUAUAUCUUCCGCAAACAGUUGUAGAAAUAGCGAACCGGAUCCGCGGCGAUUCGGGACCCGGAUUCGGGGCUGCUACA